CCAUGUCAGAAGUGGUUCCAGGUAUGUAUUGUUGGAGAGAGUGAUACAUGUCAGAAGUGGUUCUAGGUAUGUAUUGUUGGAGAGAGCGAUACCAUGUCAGAAGUGGUUCUAGGUAUGUAUUGUUGGAGAGAGUGAUACAUGUCAGAAGUGGUUCUAGGUAUGUAUUGUUGGAGAGAGCGAUACCAUGUCAGAAGUGGUUCUAGGUAUGUAUUGUUGGAGAGAGUGAUACAUGUCAGAAGUGGUUCUAGGUAUGUAUUGUUGGAGAGUGAUACCAUGUCAGAAGUGGUUCUAGGUAUGUAUUGUUGGAGAGAGCGAUACCAUGUCAGAAGUGGUUCUAGGUAUGUAUUGUUAGAGAGUGAUACCACGUCAGAAGUGGUUCCAGGUAUGUAUUGUUAGAGAGUGAUACCAUGCUUGUCUGAAGUGUUU
This 426-nucleotide long non-coding RNA is filed under the name Salmo salar (Atlantic salmon). RNAcentral describes it as "lncRNA (ENSSSAG00000097948.1)". Lineage: Eukaryota; Metazoa; Chordata; Actinopteri; Salmoniformes; Salmonidae. The record is from RNAcentral.